This 253-nucleotide ribosomal RNA is filed under the name uncultured bacterium. Its description in RNAcentral is "partial 16S ribosomal RNA". It matches the Rfam family "Bacterial small subunit ribosomal RNA", at positions 524 to 776 of the family's 1533-position model. The record is from RNAcentral.
UACAGAGGUCUCAAGCGUUGUUCGGAUUCAUUGGGCGUAAAGGGUGCGUAGGCGGGUCUUUAAGUCAGGGGUGAAAUCCUGGAGCUCAACUCCAGAACUGCCUUUGAUACUGAGGAUCUUGAGUUCGGGAGAGGUGAGUGGAACUGCGAGUGUAGAGGUGAAAUUCGUAGAUAUUCGCAAGAACACCAGUGGCGAAGGCGGCUCACUGGCCCGAUACUGACGCUGAGGCACGAAAGCGUGGGGAGCAAACAGG